GAUGAACGCUGGCGGCGUGCUUAACACAUGCAAGUCGAACGGUGAACACGGAGCUUGCUCUGUGGGAUCAGUGGCGAACGGGUGAGUAACACGUGAGCAACCUGCCCCUGACUCUGGGAUAAGCGCUGGAAACGGCGUCUAAUACUGGAUAUGUGACGUGACCGCAUGGUCUGCGUUUGGAAAGAUUUUUCGGUUGGGGAUGGGCUCGCGGCCUAUCAGCUUGUUGGUGAGGUAAUGGCUCACCAAGGCGUCGACGGGUAGCCGGCCUGAGAGGGUGACCGGCCACACUGGGAUUGAGACACGGCCCAGACUCCUACGGGAGGCAGCAGUGGGGAAUAUUGCACAAUGGGCGAAAGCCUGAUGCAGCAACGCCGCGUGAGGGAUGACGGCCUUCGGGUUGUAAACCUUUUUUAGCAGGGAAGAAGCGAAAGUGACGGUAUCUGCAGAAAAAGCGCCGGCUAACUACGUG
This 469-nucleotide ribosomal RNA is filed under the name uncultured bacterium. RNAcentral's name for it is "partial 16S ribosomal RNA". It matches the Rfam family "Bacterial small subunit ribosomal RNA", at positions 28 to 507 of the family's 1533-position model. The record is from RNAcentral.